Molecule: ribosomal RNA, 403 nt
Filed under: uncultured bacterium
Lineage: Bacteria
Description: bacterial SSU rRNA
Rfam family: Bacterial small subunit ribosomal RNA
Source: RNAcentral
UGGGGAAUUUUGCGCAAUGGGGGAAACCCUGACGCAGCAACGCCGCGUGCGGGAUGACGGCCUUCGGGUUGUAAACCGCUUUCAGUGGGAAAGAUAAUGACGGUACCCACACAAGAAGCUCCGGCUAAAUACGUGCCAGCAGCCGCGGUAAUACGUAUGGAGCAAGCGUUAUCCGGAUUUAUUGGGCGUAAAGCGCGCGUAGGCGGCUUGUUAAGCAAGGUCUUAAAUCUUGGGGCUCAACCUCAAGUCGGAUCUUGAACUGGCAGGCUCGAGUAUGGUAGAGGAAAGUGGAAUUCCCAGUGUAGCGGUGAAAUGCGCAGAUAUUGGGAAGAACACCGAUGGCGAAGGCAGCUUUCUGGGCCAUUACUGACGCUGAGGUGCGAAAGCUAGGGGAGCAAACAGG